CGGGAUGUAGCGCAGCCCGGUAGCGUACUUGCAUGGGGUGCAAGUGGUCGCUGGUUCGAAUCCAGUCAUCCCGAC
RNAcentral lists this transfer RNA (75 nucleotides) under Chryseobacterium taklimakanense. RNAcentral describes it as "tRNA-Pro(ggg)". It matches the Rfam family "tRNA". Rfam says of the family: Transfer RNA (tRNA) molecules are approximately 80 nucleotides in length. Their secondary structure includes four short double-helical elements and three loops (D, anti-codon, and T loops). The record is from RNAcentral. Lineage: Bacteria; Pseudomonadati; Bacteroidota; Flavobacteriia; Flavobacteriales; Weeksellaceae.